AUGGCUCAGCUAACUAACCAUGGUGUAGCAAAAAUAAAAUGGCCAUAUCUAGGCAAGAAGUUUCGGCCAAAAACUAAUGCAACAUUGCAGCAUGGUACGCGAAAAUGCAGGAAAAUAGAAGAAGGUACUGAAAGGACAUGGGACACAAAUAGACUAUGGAGACAAACCGAAAUUGCUAAUGGUGAUACUUAUUACCUGAACAGACAUUCACAUUCAUUGGUGUGGCACUUAGUCAUAACUGAAAUGCACGGAUAUAAAAAAAUAUUGGUGAUCCAUAGUAAUAGACACUUGAAGCCCCAUGUUGUAAUUGUAACUGAGCAUAGAUAUAACAAAAUAUUACAGAUUAGAUAUUUAUUUAGGAACCAAUGA
RNAcentral lists this ribosomal RNA (369 nucleotides) under Triticum aestivum (bread wheat). RNAcentral describes it as "partial small subunit ribosomal RNA". The record is from RNAcentral. Lineage: Eukaryota; Viridiplantae; Streptophyta; Magnoliopsida; Poales; Poaceae.